Molecule: small RNA, 128 nt
Filed under: pig gut metagenome
Description: Ribosomal protein L10 leader
Rfam family: Ribosomal protein L10 leader
About the family: This family is a putative r-protein leader autoregulatory structure found in B. subtilis and other low-GC Gram-positive bacteria.
Source: RNAcentral
UAUCAUAUAGCUGCCGAAGACAGUAGGUGCCGUAAGGCAUAAGUUGAACACGCCUACCGAGGAAAUAUAAGAUAUUCUUAGAUGAACUUAUAGAACCUUUUCUGUCUUUUUCAGUAAGGUUCUUUUUU